GAUUUUUUUUAUUUUUUUUUAACGAUAACAAAUAUUUUAUUCAAUCAUUUCCUGCUAUAUAAAUACCUUAAGUAGCCCAGGUCGCAUACUUAGGGGCCCCUGUAUUUUAACAGCCUCACUUGACCAGGGAAAAUAUCAAAUGAGUUUAUACAAUAGUUUUACAUACAUAAUUAUAUUUAAAUAACCAAUACAAUUGAUUUUCACACCUGAUCAGCAUCACUGUAUAAAAUCACUAUCGUAUAUCCGGUUCACUGAACAAACAUGUGUUGAUUUAAACUGGAAAGACUUUAAAAUUUGAUUGCAAAAAUAAGUUUAUAGUUUGACUUGAAGAAUUUUGAUGUGAUUGAACAGAAUUUGAAAGUAUUCUUUAAUAUAUAUUUAUGGAUUAUAAAAAAAGGAUAAAGCACAUGUGGUGAGUACAAAUGUAUUACGAAGCAUAAUAUAUGUGGUAAUUUACUAAUGUAACUAAUAUGCACAGACAUAGAUUUAAA
Molecule: long non-coding RNA, 491 nt
Filed under: Mytilus galloprovincialis (Mediterranean mussel)
Lineage: Eukaryota; Metazoa; Mollusca; Bivalvia; Mytilida; Mytilidae
Source: RNAcentral